AGUGAACGCUGGCGGUAGGCCUAACACAUGCAAGUCGAACGGCAGCACAGUAAGAGCUUGCUCUUACGGUUGGCGAGUGGCGGACGGGUGAGGAAUACAUCGGAAUCUACUUUUUCGUGGGGGAUAACGUAGGGAAACUUACGCUAAUACCGCAUACGACCUACGGGUGAAAGCAGGGGAUCUUCGCACCUUGCGCGAUUGAAUUAGCCGAUGUCGGAUUAGCUAGUUGGCUGGGUAAAGGCCCACCAAGGCGACGAUCCGUAGCUGGUCUGAGAGGAUGAUCAGCCACACUGGAACUGAGACACGGUCCAGACUCCUACGGGAGGCAGCAGUGGGGAAUAUUGGACAAUGGGCGCAAGCCUGAUCCAGCCAUACCGCGUGGGUGAAGAAGGCCUUCGGGUUGUAAAGCCCUUUUGUUGGGAAAGAAAAGCAGCAGGUUAAUACCCCGCUGUUCUGACGGUACCCAAAGAAUAAGCACCGGCUAACUUCGUG
Molecule: ribosomal RNA, 492 nt
Filed under: uncultured bacterium
Lineage: Bacteria
Description: partial 16S ribosomal RNA
Rfam family: Bacterial small subunit ribosomal RNA
Source: RNAcentral